CCUACGGGAGGCAGCAGUGAGGAAUCUUCCACAAUGGACGAAAGUCUGAUGGAGCGACACCGCGUGAAGGAUGAAGGCCUAACGGUUGUAAACUUCUUUUCUGAAGGAGCAUAAUGAGAGUACUUCAGGAAUAAGGGACGGCUAAAUACGUGCCAGCAGCCGCGGUAAUACGUAUGUCUCAAGCGUUACCCGGAAUCACUGGGUGUAAAGGGUUCGUAGGCGGUUUGAUAAGUUGGAUAUGAAAGACCGGGGCUCAACCCCGUGUUGGUGUUCAAAACUGUUAAACUAGAAUCAGGGAGAGGUAAGUGGAAUUCUGUGCGUAGGGGUGCAAUCCGUAGAUACACAGAGGAACACCAAAAGCGAAGGCAACUUACUGGAACUGUAUUGACGCUCAUGAACGAAAGCGUGGGUAGCGAAAAGGAUUAGAUACCCUUGUAGUC
Molecule: ribosomal RNA, 440 nt
Filed under: uncultured bacterium
Lineage: Bacteria
Description: bacterial SSU rRNA
Rfam family: Bacterial small subunit ribosomal RNA
Source: RNAcentral